CGAAAAAUCCAAAUUAAAUUCCGUGGAUUUUUAGAAAUGAUUUCACGAUAGUGGGAGCGAGUACGAGGCUCGGAGAAGUUGUGGAAUUAGUUCGAACGAUUAAUUUUCGAAAAAACGAACGUUAUUUAGGGGCUCGCGAAAGUUGACUUUUUAUACGUUCAAAAUUUGGGAAAACUUUCUUCAUGAAAGUUGUAGAGCUCGUCGAUACGAUCGCGUGCAUAUGCGGAACGCAAAAAUCGGAGUUCGUAUGAAUUAGUUAUGAUUUUUUGAAAAAGUUUCCAAUUUAGUAUAAAGCUUCCAUUUUUGGAAAUUUCCAAAAAUAAAAACAGAUUUUUCCAAAAUUGGAAAAUCUGCUGCGAUUUUAGUUCCCCGCCGGAAAUCGCCUCCAAAACUUCGAUCGACGAUUUCUUCCUCCUCCGGCCACCGAUCCUCACCAAACUUCUUCCAUUGGCUUCGUAUGGUCCUUGCGCACCUGUCUGUGGCAGCCUUUCACGGCGGCACGGCCUGUAGCGGCGGCGGCAAGCCCGGUCCGAUUUAAGCUCGAUUUUGGUCAACGCCGGUUUUCUCCUAGCUCCGGCCACCAAAACUUCCGAUCCUUGGCUUCAUGAACUCCCCUCAACCUGCUGAUCAUCAUACUAGGAGGAUUGCACCUAGAGUGACCGGUUUCACGUUCGUCGGAGCUCGUGGGUUCCCCUUGAUGUUAUUAACAACUCUCUAGAAGGCAUCGAGGCCUGAAAUUGAAGCUUUGACGUCGAAAUCGAGCCUUGCCGGAUUCUGCAAAAUUCUGGAAUUUUUCCGACCACCGAAGCUUUCGAUCGGUAUAUCUCGAGCUACAGGCCAUAUUUUUCUGUGAUUCUUGAACCAGUGAGUUCUUCUUGAGUUUCUUAACAACUCUUCAGAAGGAAUCGAAGCCUUAAAUUGACGUUUUUACGUCGAAUUGGAGCUCGCCGUUUUCUGCAGUUUCUCGCCGGUUUCUGGAAAAUUCCGGCCACCUUCAUACUGUUCAAGGUGAUUGACGGUUUAAGUUGGUGGACGAUUGUGGAUCGUAUUCUGAGCUGUUGAGAAGACGCAGCGGGAUUAGAGGUGAGUAAACCUCACAUGGUUCAUAUUACGAACCGAAUAUAAUUAAUUGAUUUUUUUGUCGUAAUUGUGUGGAAAUUGUUUAUGAAAUAAAGAUUUGUUUUGAAAUAAUAUGAACUUGAUCAACUACGGUUCAUAGGGCUGCGGCUCACAGGUAAGAAAAUGAAUUUAAGUAUAAAAUGAAUUUAUUGCUUUAAUGCGUGUGAACUAUAGUUGGUAUUAAUAGACAUUCCUGUGCGAAUGUCUAUGUAUAUAUAUUAUUUACGUGAAAUAAUAUGUACUGUUGGAGUUGUGUUGAGUUUAUUGUUGAGAAACAAUAUAUUGUGAGAGGUAUUGAGUUUAUUGUUGAGAAACAAUAUAUUGUGAGGGGUAUUGAGUUUAUUGUUGAGAAACAAUAUAGUGAGAGAGAUGUUGAGUUUUAUUGUUGAGGAACAAUAAAUUGUUAUGAUCUGUGGAGAUCAAUAGGUCACGGGGUGACCAUGGCAUACUAUCAGCGACCCACGCUCUCGCGCCGGGUAGGUGGAACUGAAUAGUAUUAAAUCGUGAACCACGCUCUCGCGCCGGGUAGGUGGAAACGAUCAGUUAGAGCUCUAGUCUGUCUGCCAAUUGUUGAGUGGUGUUGUGAGGGAAAUGUUGAGGUUACUUGAGACUGUGAGUGGUCAUGUAUGAGUGAUGUUGAGGUUACUUGAGACUGUGAGGGGUCUUAUGUGAGAAGUGUUGAGGAUACUUGAGUCUUUUAAGAAUGAGUUCUUAAAAGAGAGCCUCAAGAGUAUCCUUCCUUUUAUGGUGAUUGUGUUGAGUUAUAUUAAUUGUAAAGAAAUAAAUCAACAAUUCUUUCUUGUUUACUCAUACUGGCUGUAAAAAGCUUACCGGGUUUUGUGUUGUUGCAACUCCCGGUACACUAUUCAAAUUGUGUAGCGGGUAAUCCUACAGGACAGGAGAACCAGGACGGUGAUCGUGCGGUUAGAGCAAUUGUUAGAGUUUUACAGCAAUUGUACGUUGUGAGGUGUGUUAUGCUCAUUUGAGCUUUACAAUAUUGCUUGUGAGAGUGAAUUGUAAUAAUGAACUCGAAGUUUCGAGAUUUGGAUUUUGUAAUUGUAAUUAUUCAUGUUUCGGAUUUGAAUUUAUUAUUCAAAAUUCGGGGCGUGACAGUUUGGUAUCAGAGCGUAAGGUACAUAUUUGGUGAUAAUCAAUACUUCCCGAGUGAUGGCCCGUCUGCAGCGGAUCCCCAUCAUAUACUCUUCGGUAUUGGUAUAAUCAUUGGGUAUGUCUUAGUAUGGGGUCUAGACAGCGUGUAUGUCCGUAGGACGGUAGAGUUGCCUUCUAAGUUCGUAUUAGAAUAAGUUUAGUUUCCGCGAGUUGUGAUCUUCGAGGAAUGGAAACCUCCGGAUUUAACUCUGAUGAGUCAGUGAGGAUUGUUUAUGGAAAUGAGUUUCCUUUUGUAUGUAGAAGUGUUUGG
Molecule: long non-coding RNA, 2539 nt
Organism: Rosa rugosa (rugosa rose)
Lineage: Eukaryota; Viridiplantae; Streptophyta; Magnoliopsida; Rosales; Rosaceae
Exons: 3
Source: RefSeq, a predicted model, not a curated record